UUGAAAAUUUGAAUCAAGGCUGGCCUGGCUAGCCGGCUGGCUGUAUGCAUGCAACGCGAACAAGGCUAAAAAGGUAACUUUUAGAUCGUGUGUUCUUGCCCAGCUACUUUGAAGAAUGUAGCUUUUUCCAGCUAAUGUCGGCGCUUUUUGGAACUGAUUCCAUCAUGCCAGUGAUAGACACCUGGAGAGAGAGACUGGUGAUAUCGCAGCGGAAUUUGAAUCGAAAUUGAUAAUUUGUAGAGCUGUAGAGAGUGUGUUCGCUCUCCAGUCAGCAGCGAGAGGGCAGCUGGCGCUCAGUCGCCAAGGCUACUGGAAUUCAUCAUCUUGCUUCAUCCAAUGACUGUUUCUAAUCCUCUCUCCCACUACCCUUGCGGUGGCUUCAAUGUGAUAUUCUGCACUCCAAUCCGGAAAGCUUCACAACGGAUGCGGACCAUGUAACCUUAUCACGGUAAUAAUUAUUUACCAACAGUCAAGUUAUGUUAUUCAAGGCAGUUCUUGCUCAGAUCAAGUCAACUCUACAAAUAAUAGGAUUGAUGCUGGACUCGGACUCAUGUUGGGAGCCUGAUAUGCUCGGACUGCUGCCACUGUGCUCCUCCAGCUGCCUCUAGUGUUGCUGGCUUCGCUGCUGCUGGUGCUGUUUCUGCGAUUGCUGAGGCUUCAUACGCGGCUUCUGGCCAUAGUGGGUAAUUCAUGAAGUUAGCCGCAUGACCAGUGCUUCAAAGCUCAGUGUUAAGUCUCGGUAUGCACUGGGAAUGCUGGCCGGUCCUCCGGCUUGAUUGACAAAGUAGCGACAUGCUGCACGUAGGUAGGGUGGCACGGCUACAGGAAGCAUACUGGUGUCCAGGUAGACGGGGAUAAUGUUCUUCACACGAUGCUUAUCGGUUUUCAGACCGUCAAUUAUGCGGCACUCGUGUGCUGCUAGGGGGUCAAGAUCAUCAAGAUCAGAUGCUGAAUAUCCAUGUGUCUGCACCGGGGUCGGGUGGGCAUCAUCAUUGCAGACUCGUACAGUAGAUUCAGUUUGACAUGCAUACGGGGAAAGCUGCCUUUCUUCCUUGUAGCGCUGUAGCAAGAGUAGCUUCUGCAUACGUUCCUUGUUGGAUCUCUCCACAUGUGCUAGAUCUUGGCCAUUGCAGGUUACGGGGACGUUAGCUGUACUGAAGUAAUCUACCUGGUCGAUGAUCUGCUGUUGCUGAUGGAGAGUGUCGUUGAUUUGAUGAGGAGCACUGAAUGGUACCCCAACACUUGAUUUCUGCUGCUGAUGUUGCUUGAGGUGCUGUUGUUGCUGGUAGAGUUGCAGUUGGCAUUCCCCUUGGUACUGCUGCUCAUUUAUCUGCUGUUGCUGGAGUUGCUCUUGACGACAUUGCUGCUGCUGCUGCUGUUUAUUGUGCAGGUGAGCCAGCUUUGGACGAUCUGAACAGCAGUGUGGAUAAUAGCUAGAUAUUACAACGAGGAUAUGCCGACUUAGCUCCAUUUGACCUUCAAUCCACCCAGUGACAUUUUGACAGUAUGUCUCAUCAUGCUGGUUGAACUCAAAGCUUGCGAUGUUGACGUUCAGUCCUCUUUCUUGGAGUUGCCUUGCUAGCCUUUCUGCUCUUUCCAAGUUUGAGUCUGGAUAACGAGCAAAGCUGAUAUACACACUGUGCUCUGGCAAUGAUAGAGCUGGCGCUGGUGCUGGUGGUUUCGUGGCUAAUCGAAAACGUUCGUCAAUCUGUACUGAGGUUUCCAAGUACUCCUGACUUCCUGUAAAUUGAUUGUAAUAAUGCAAGGAAAUGAGUAAAACAGAAACAAAUGCCAAUGCAGCUCUCAGUUGGGGACAUUGCAAUCAUGUAAUGUAUGUUUACAUCCCUCCUCCCCUGCCCUUACAAACGGCGUUGUUUCUAUUCCUGCACUGCGCCGUUGUUUCUAUUCCUGCACUGCGCCGUUGUUUCUAUUCCUGCACUGCGCCGUUGUUUCUAUUCCUGCACUGCGCCGUUGUUUCUAUUCCUGCACUGCGCCGUUGUUUCUAUUCCUGCACUGCGCCGUUAGUAUAGUACUAUUGUAAUUUCACUAAUUUUCCGUGUACUUUGAUUUUCGGUACUUUCGGUGCGUCUGUUUCAUACCUCAAAUUUCAAUACACCGAACAAACACUAACACACAUAAUCCAAUAGGAACUGCUUCUCUGUACCGAAAAUUUCUGUUCACCUAACCUGGCCUUUUGCCCUCAUACCGAAAAUAUUGAGCACCGAAAAUUUCUGAAAUUAGAGUA
Sycon ciliatum is the source of this 2245-nucleotide long non-coding RNA. RefSeq lists it as uncharacterized. The record is from RefSeq and is a predicted model, not a curated record. Lineage: Eukaryota; Metazoa; Porifera; Calcarea; Leucosolenida; Sycettidae. The transcript is spliced from 2 exons.